Non-coding RNA from Struthio camelus australis, 469 nucleotides. The record is from RefSeq and is a predicted model, not a curated record. Lineage: Eukaryota; Metazoa; Chordata; Aves; Struthioniformes; Struthionidae.
GACCACAUGCAGAAGGAAGAUUGCAAUAUUCCACCUGGUAAAUCAACACAAUUGUGGAUUUUGAUUCUUCCACUGAAUGGCAGUGAUAUCUCUCCGCAGUAAUAGUGCGAGCCAGAGCCAAGCCAGCGGGCAGCAGGCAGGCAUAGAUGAAAAAUGGAGAAGCUAAAAUGCAGAGGAUCAACAUUGUGACCCUUUAUCCAUCCAUCAAGCCAGUCUGCAGAGGCCAAAAUAUAACCAAAGUUUCCUGAAUCCCAGACCAGCACUCUGGGUAACUCUGAGGUGGUCUUUUUCCUGAGGCUGUUUUGCAGUGAUACUUGCUUUCUCCUCUACCUUCGCUGGGAUGCUCUGAAAUUCUCUGGGGAACAGCUAUAGCCAAGCAAUUUGUGUUUGCCAGUAACACAACUGCUGGAUAUGGAGGAGGAGAGUCUGCAUCAGGACCAGCAAGUCAGAAAGAGCCAUGCACCCAACU